AUGGAUAUAAAAUCCGCAUUUUUAAACGGGGAGUUAAAAGAAGAAGUAUAUGUGAAGCAAUCACCGGGUUACAUCAAAAAGGGAGAGGAGCACAAGGUGUUGAGACUAUACAAGGCAUUGUACGGGCUAUGCCAAGCUCCUCGGGCAUGGAACAUCAAGCUUGAUCGUACACUAGUUUAUCUUGGUUUUGAGAAGAGUCCACUGGAGCAUGCUAUGUACAAGCGAGGUAAAGGCAAGGAUCGUCUCCUAGUGGCCAUUUAUGUUGAUGAUCUCUUGCUAACUAGAGCAGAUGAGGAGGAGAUUGCUAGGUUCAAGCUACAAAUGAAGGAGCUUUUCAAGAUGAGUGAUCUAGGGCUCUUGACUUACUAUCUCGGGAUCGAGGUACAUCAAAAGCCGGAGGAAAUCACACUAUGCCAGGACGCAUAUGCAAAGAAGAUUCUUGAAAGCUGUAGCAUGGAGGACUGCAAUCCAAGUCAUGUUUCAAUGGAGCCUCGACUUAAACUUAGCAAGAGGAGCCAAGCACCCGUGGUUGAUGCAACGGAGUAUAGAAGUGUGGUCGAAAGCCUAAGGUAUCUUGUGAAUACACGACCAAACUUGGCCUAUUCCGUUGGCGUAGUGAGUCGCUUCAUGGAAGCACCCACGACAGAACAUUAG
RNAcentral lists this ribosomal RNA (654 nucleotides) under Triticum aestivum (bread wheat). RNAcentral describes it as "partial small subunit ribosomal RNA". The record is from RNAcentral. Lineage: Eukaryota; Viridiplantae; Streptophyta; Magnoliopsida; Poales; Poaceae.